RNAcentral lists this ribosomal RNA (305 nucleotides) under uncultured bacterium. Its description in RNAcentral is "bacterial SSU rRNA". It matches the Rfam family "Bacterial small subunit ribosomal RNA", at positions 333 to 634 of the family's 1533-position model. The record is from RNAcentral.
AUUACCCUACGGGGCGCAGCAGUGAGGAAUAUUGGUCAAUGGACGCAAGUCUGAACCAGCCAAGUAGCGUGCAGGAUGACGGCCCUCCGGGUUGUAAACUGCUUUUAGUUGGGAAUAAAAGGGGGCUCGUGAGCCCCGUAUUGUAUGUACCAUCAGAAAAAGGACCGGCUAAUUCCGUGCCAGCAGCCGCGGUAAUACGGAGGAUGCGAGCGUUAUCCGGAUUUAUUGGGUUUAAAGGGUGCGCAGGCGGAAGAUCAAGUCAGCGGUAAAAUUGAGAGGCUCAACCUCUUCGAGCCGUUGAAACU